AUUAGUAAUAGUUAAUUUGUUUUUAUUAAUAAAAUUACUUUAAAUUUUUUAAGUGAAAUUUUAAAUUUAAUUAAUUUUAUAUAAAAGAGUUGAUGAAGCUAAAAAAUUUUAAUAAUAAACUAGGAUUAGAUACCCUAUUAUUUAAAAAGUAAAGUUAAAUACUUGAGUAGUAAUAGAUAUGAUCUUCAAACUUAAAGAAUUUGGCGGUGUUUUAGUCUAUUUAGAGGAACCUGUCCUGUAAUCGAUAAUCCACGUUGGACCUUACUAAAAUUUGUUGUCAAUUUGUAUAUCGCCGUUAUCAGAAUAUCUUAAAAGAGGAAUAAUUUUCUUAAUUUAUUAUUAUAAUUGAUGUCAGGUCAAGGUGCAGUUUAUAUUUUAGUAGAGAUGGGUUACAAUAAAUUUAUUUAAACGUUAAAUUAUUUGAAAUAAUGAUUUUAAGGUGGAUUUAAAAGUAAAAUAAUGAAUAUAAUUUAUUUGAUUAUAGCUCUAAAACAUGCACACAUCG
Molecule: ribosomal RNA, 505 nt
Filed under: Simulium defoliarti
Lineage: Eukaryota; Metazoa; Arthropoda; Insecta; Diptera; Simuliidae
Description: partial 12S ribosomal RNA
Source: RNAcentral